ACCUCCAUCCAAACCAUCUUCCUC
RNAcentral lists this non-coding RNA (24 nucleotides) under Arabidopsis thaliana (thale cress). Lineage: Eukaryota; Viridiplantae; Streptophyta; Magnoliopsida; Brassicales; Brassicaceae. The record is from RNAcentral.